RNAcentral lists this ribosomal RNA (1059 nucleotides) under Vibrio crassostreae. Its description in RNAcentral is "bacterial LSU rRNA". It matches the Rfam family "Bacterial large subunit ribosomal RNA", at positions 359 to 1426 of the family's 2925-position model. Lineage: Bacteria; Pseudomonadati; Pseudomonadota; Gammaproteobacteria; Vibrionales; Vibrionaceae. The record is from RNAcentral.
AAAGGGUGAUAGCCCCGUAAUCGACAUCUCAUCAUCAGUGAAAACGAGUAGGGCGGGACACGUGAUAUCCUGUCUGAAUAUGGGGGGACCAUCCUCCAAGGCUAAAUACUACUGACUGACCGAUAGUGAACCAGUACCGUGAGGGAAAGGCGAAAAGAACCCCUGUGAGGGGAGUGAAAUAGAACCUGAAACCGUGUACGUACAAGCAGUAGGAGCACCUUCGUGGUGUGACUGCGUACCUUUUGUAUAAUGGGUCAGCGACUUAAUUUUAGUAGCAAGGUUAACCGUUUAGGGGAGCCGUAGGGAAACCGAGUCUUAACUGGGCGUACAGUUGCUAGGAUUAGACCCGAAACCAGGUGAUCUAGCCAUGGGCAGGUUGAAGGUUGAGUAACAUCAACUGGAGGACCGAACCGACUAAUGUUGAAAAAUUAGCGGAUGACUUGUGGCUAGGGGUGAAAGGCCAAUCAAACCUGGAGAUAGCUGGUUCUCCCCGAAAGCUAUUUAGGUAGCGCCUCGGACGAAUACUACUGGGGGUAGAGCACUGUUAAGGCUAGGGGGUCAUCCCGACUUACCAACCCUUUGCAAACUCCGAAUACCAGUAAGUACUAUCCGGGAGACACACGGCGGGUGCUAACGUCCGUCGUGGAGAGGGAAACAACCCAGACCGCCAGCUAAGGUCCCAAAGUAUAGCUAAGUGGGAAACGAUGUGGGAAGGCUCAGACAGCCAGGAUGUUGGCUUAGAAGCAGCCAUCAUUUAAAGAAAGCGUAAUAGCUCACUGGUCGAGUCGGCCUGCGCGGAAGAUGUAACGGGGCUAAGCUAUACACCGAAGCUGCGGCUACGUACCUUAGGGUAUGUGGGGUAGGGGAGCGUUCUGUAAGCCGUUGAAGGUGGUCUGUAAGGGCUGCUGGAGGUAUCAGAAGUGCGAAUGCUGACAUGAGUAACGAUAAAGGGAGUGAAAAACUCCCUCGCCGGAAGACCAAGGGUUCCUGUCCAACGUUAAUCGGGGCAGGGUAAGUCGACUCCUAAGGCGAGGCCGAAAGGCGUAGUCGAUGGGAAAC